This 652-nucleotide ribosomal RNA is filed under the name Klebsiella pneumoniae. RNAcentral describes it as "partial 23S ribosomal RNA". It matches the Rfam family "Bacterial large subunit ribosomal RNA", at positions 2279 to 2925 of the family's 2925-position model. The record is from RNAcentral. RNAcentral also lists the same sequence under 1 other name. Lineage: Bacteria; Pseudomonadati; Pseudomonadota; Gammaproteobacteria; Enterobacterales; Enterobacteriaceae.
GCGGUCUCCUCCCAAAGCGUAACGGAGGAGCACGAAGGUUAGCUAAUCCUGGUCGGACAUCAGGAGGUUAGUGCAAUGGCAUAAGCUAGCUUGACUGCGAGCGUGACGGCGCGAGCAGGUGCGAAAGCAGGUCAUAGUGAUCCGGUGGUUCUGAAUGGAAGGGCCAUCGCUCAACGGAUAAAAGGUACUCCGGGGAUAACAGGCUGAUACCGCCCAAGAGUUCAUAUCGACGGCGGUGUUUGGCACCUCGAUGUCGGCUCAUCACAUCCUGGGGCUGAAGUAGGUCCCAAGGGUAUGGCUGUUCGCCAUUUAAAGUGGUACGCGAGCUGGGUUUAGAACGUCGUGAGACAGUUCGGUCCCUAUCUGCCGUGGGCGCUGGAGAAUUGAGGGGGGCUGCUCCUAGUACGAGAGGACCGGAGUGGACGCAUCACUGGUGUUCGGGUUGUCAUGCCAAUGGCACUGCCCGGUAGCUAAAUGCGGAAGAGAUAAGUGCUGAAAGCAUCUAAGCACGAAACUUGCCCCGAGAUGAGUUCUCCCUGAGACUUUAAGUCUCCUGAAGGAACGUUAAAGACGAUGACGUUGAUAGGCCGGGUGUGUAAGCGCAGCGAUGCGUUGAGCUAACCGGUACUAAUGAACCGUGAGGCUUAACCUU